Molecule: ribosomal RNA, 1567 nt
Filed under: Salmonella enterica
Lineage: Bacteria; Pseudomonadati; Pseudomonadota; Gammaproteobacteria; Enterobacterales; Enterobacteriaceae
Description: partial 23S ribosomal RNA
Source: RNAcentral
UGCUGGAGGUAUCAGAAGUGCGAAUGCUGACAUAAGUAACGAUAAAGCGGGUGAAAAGCCCGCUCGCCGGAAGACCAAGGGUUCCUGUCCAACGUUAAUCGGGGCAGGGUGAGUCGACCCCUAAGGCGAGGCCGAAAGGCGUAGUCGAUGGGAAACGGGUUAAUAUUCCCGUACUUGGUGUUACUGCGAAGGGGGGACGGAGAAGGCUAUGUUGGCCGGGCGACGGUUGUCCCGGUUUAAGCGUGUAGGCUGGUUUUCCAGGCAAAUCCGGAAAAUCAAGGCUGAGGCGUGAYGACGAGGCACUACGGUGCUGAAGCAACAAAUGCCCUGCUUCCAGGAAAAGCCUCUAAGCAUCAGGUAACAUCAAAUCGUACCCCAAACCGACACAGGUGGUCAGGUAGAGAAUACCAAGGCGCUUGAGAGAACUCGGGUGAAGGAACUAGGCAAAAUGGUGCCGUAACUUCGGGAGAAGGCACGCUGACACGUAGGUGAAGUGAUUUACUCAUGGAGCUGAAGUCAGUCGAAGAUACCAGCUGGCUGCAACUGUUUAUUAAAAACACAGCACUGUGCAAACACGAAAGUGGACGUAUACGGUGUGACGCCUGCCCGGUGCCGGAAGGUUAAUUGAUGGGGUCAGCGCAAGCGAAGCUCCUGAUCGAAGCCCCGGUAAACGGCGGCCGUAACUAUAACGGUCCUAAGGUAGCGAAAUUCCUUGUCGGGUAAGUUCCGACCUGCACGAAUGGCGUAAUGAUGGCCAGGCUGUCUCCACCCGAGACUCAGUGAAAUUGAACUCGCUGUGAAGAUGCAGUGUACCCGCGGCAAGACGGAAAGACCCCGUGAACCUUUACUAUAGCUUGACACUGAACAUUGAGCCUUGAUGUGUAGGAUAGGUGGGAGGCUUUGAAGUGUGGACGCCAGUCUGCAUGGAGCCGACCUUGAAAUACCACCCUUUAAUGUUUGAUGUUCUAACGUGGACCCGUKAYCCGGGUUGCGGACAGUGUCUGGUGGGUAGUUUGACUGGGGCGGUCUCCUCCUAAAGAGUAACGGAGGAGCACGAAGGUUGGCUAAUCCUGGUCGGACAUCAGGAGGUUAGUGCAAUGGCAUAAGCCAGCUUGACUGCGAGCGUGACGGCGCGAGCAGGUGCGAAAGCAGGUCAUAGUGAUCCGGUGGUUCUGAAUGGAAGGGCCAUCGCUCAACGGAUAAAAGGUACUCCGGGGAUAACAGGCUGAUACCGCCCAAGAGUUCAUAUCGACGGCGGUGUUUGGCACCUCGAUGUCGGCUCAUCACAUCCUGGGGCUGAAGUAGGUCCCAAGGGUAUGGCUGUUCGCCAUUUAAAGUGGUACGCGAGCUGGGUUUAGAACGUCGUGAGACAGUUCGGUCCCUAUCUGCCGUGGGCGCUGGAGAACUGAGGGGGGCUGCUCCUAGUACGAGAGGACCGGAGUGGACGCAUCACUGGUGUUCGGGUUGUCAUGCCAAUGGCACUGCCCGGUAGCUAAAUGCGGAAGAGAUAAGUGCUGAAAGCAUCUAAGCACGAAACUUGCCCCGAGAUGAGUUCUCCCUGAGACUU